Molecule: long non-coding RNA, 695 nt
Organism: Melanaphis sacchari
Lineage: Eukaryota; Metazoa; Arthropoda; Insecta; Hemiptera; Aphididae
Exons: 3
Source: RefSeq, a predicted model, not a curated record
AAAGAUGGUAAUAACUAAAGGCCGGCAUUUCAUAUAUGACUUAAGCUAGAGAGCUAGGCUCUCUAACUUAAGCUAUAGCUUUACUAACUUAAGUGUAGUUUAAUUUGUAUUCCGUAUAUCAAUUAGUUAAAGCUAAAUAAAUAAAUUCUAUGGAAGGUCUCGAUUAUUAUAUUCAGUUCUAUUAUUUUAUGUAACUCACCUGAUAUCUUUCAUGAUGUACAAGUGUGUGAAGUUAUACAUUGGAAGCGAUUUACAGAAAAAAAAAACACAUAGUACAAAUGUAUAACAUUGUCAUGUAUUUAGAAACAUUUCACCUACAAAUUAAUGGUUUAAUUGAUGAUAAGGGCAAUGCCAUUCUUAAUUUUUUACCGUUCAUUAAUUAUUACAAACUUAAUGCAAUUGAUAAAGCGUUUUAUGAAUUUUUAAAAGACCUGGAUUCAUGGUGGCUCAAACCUUAACAAUGAUCUGAACUAUAAACAAACAAAGUUAACAACAAGAGUUCCAAAUGCCAUAAUUCAAAUUGAUGACCAGUCGGUCAUUCAAUUUUUUUUCCCGAAUCCAGACAUUAAUUAUUUCAAUAGUAUACAUAUUAGUAUUGACAUGUUUAUAUACUUAUUAUAAAAACUCAAAUAUGACUGAAAUAUAUACAGUAUGUUAAUAGUGUUUAGAAAUGUAUAAGAUUAAAAAUAUUCUCA